GAUGAACGCUGGCGGCGUGCCUAAUACAUGCAAGUCGAGCGAACAGACGAGGAGCUUGCUCCUCUGACGUUAGCGGCGGACGGGUGAGUAACACGUGGAUAACCUACCUAUAAGACUGGGAUAACUUCGGGAAACCGGAGCUAAUACCGGAUAAUAUAUUGAACCGCAUGGUUCAAUAGUGAAAGACGGUUUUGCUGUCACUUAUAGAUGGAUCCGCGCCGCAUUAGCUAGUUGGUAAGGUAACGGCUUACCAAGGCAACGAUGCGUAGCCGACCUGACAGAGUGAUAGGCCACACUGGAACGGAGACACGGUCCAGGCGCCUACGGGAGGCAGCAGUAGGGAAUCUUCCGCAAUAGGCGAAAGCCUGGCAGAGCAACGCCGCGUAAGAGAUGAAGGUCUUCGGAUCGUAAAACUCUGUUAUUAGGGAAGAACAAAUGUGGAAGUAACUAUACACUUAUUGACGGUACCUAAUCAGGAAGCCACGGCUAACUACGUG
Molecule: ribosomal RNA, 497 nt
Filed under: uncultured bacterium
Lineage: Bacteria
Description: partial 16S ribosomal RNA
Rfam family: Bacterial small subunit ribosomal RNA
Source: RNAcentral